UUGGUACUUGGAGAGUGGUUAUCCCUGUCCUGUUCGUUUUACUCAUGUCGAAUCGUACAGGGUCAUCCACUUUUUCAGUAUCAA
Propithecus coquereli (Coquerel's sifaka) is the source of this 84-nucleotide microRNA precursor. NCBI's taxonomy places the organism in Eukaryota, Metazoa, Chordata, Mammalia, Primates, Indriidae. The record is from Ensembl.